GUUGUAUGGUUAAGUGACUAAGCGUACAUGGUGGAUGCCUUGGCAGUCAGAGGCGAUGAAGGACGUACUAACCUGCGAUAAGCCGUGAGCAGUCGGUAAGAGACAUUACGACUCACGGAUUUCCGAAUGGGGAAACCCACUUAGCAUAAGCUAGGUAUCGCUNCGUGAAUACAUAGCGUAGCGAGGCGAACCGGGAGAACUGAAACAUCUAAGUACCCCGAGGAAAAGAAAUCAACCGAGAUUCCCUCAGUAGCGGCGAGCGAACGGGGAUUAGCCCUUAAGCAUCUUGGAAGUUAGUGGAACGGUCCUGGAAAGGCCGGCGAUACAGGGUGAUAGCCCCGUACACGAAAACAACCUUGAUGUGAAAUCGAGUAGGGCGGGACACGUGACAUCCUGUCUGAAUAUGGGGGGACCAUCCUCCAAGGCUAAAUACUCCUGACUGACCGAUAGUGAACCAGUACCGUGAGGGAAAGGCGAAAAGAACCCCUGUGAGGGGAGUGAAAUAGAACCUGAAACCGUGUACGUACAAGCAGUGGGAGCCCUUCGGGGUGACUGCGUACCUUUUGUAUAAUGGGUCAGCGACUUACAUUUUGUAGCGAGGUUAACCGUAUAGGGGAGCCGUAGGGAAACCGAGUCUUAACUGGGCGUCUAGUUGCAAGGUGUAGACCCGAAACCGGGUGAUCUAGCCAUGGGCAGGUUGAAGGUUGAGUAACAUCAACUGGAGGACCGAACCCACUAACGUUGCAAAGUUAGGGGAUGACCUGUGGCUGGGGGUGAAAGGCCAAUCAAACUCGGAGAUAGCUGGUUCUCCCCGAAAGCUAUUUAGGUAGCGCCUCGGACGAAUACUACUGGGGGUAGAGCACUGUUUGGGCUAGGGGGUCAUCCCGACUUACCAACCCCAUGCAAACUCCGAAUACCAGUAAGUAAUAUCCGGGAGACACACGGCGGGUGCUAACGUCCGUCGUGAAGAGGGAAACAACCCAGACCGCCGGCUAAGGUCCCAAAGUUCUGGUUAAGUGGGAAACGAUGUGGGAAGGCUCAGACAGCUAGGAUGUUGGCUUAGAAGCAGCCAUCAUUUAAAGAAAGCGUAAUAGCUCACUAGUCGAGUCGGCCUGCGCGGAAGAUGUAACGGGGCUCAAACCAGGCACCGAAGCCGCGGAUUCACNCUAAGNGUGAGUGGUAGGGGAGCGUUCUGUAAGUCUGCGAAGGUGUNUCGAGAGGNAUGCUGGAGAUAUCAGAAGUGCGAAUGCUGACGUAAGUAACGAUAAAGGGGGUGAAAAGCCUCCUCGCCGGAAGACCAAGGGUUCCUGUCCAACGUUAAUCGGGGCAGGGUGAGUCGACCCCUAAGGNGAGGCCGAAAGGCGUANUCGAUGGGAAGCAGGUUAAUAUUCCUGCACGACUUGUAAUUGCGAUGGGGGGACGGAGAAGGCUAGGUGGGCCAGGCGACGGUUGUCCUGGUGAAAGUGCGUAGGUGGUGUUUCUAGGCAAAUCCGGAGACACAACACUGAGACACGAGACGAACGCACNACGGUGCGGAAGCCAUUGAUGCCCUGCUUCCAGGAAAAGCCUCUAAGCUUCAGAUUACAAGUCAUCGUACCCCAAACCGACACAGGUGGUCGGGUAGAGAAUACCAAGGCGCUUGAGAGAACUCGGGUGAAGGAACUAGGCAAAAUAGAACCGUAACUUCGGGAGAAGGUUCGCUCUUGAUGGUGAAGUCCCUUGCGGAUGGAGCUGUCGGGAGUCGCAGUGACCAGAUGGCUGGGACUGUUUAUCAAAAACACAGCACUCUGCAAACACGAAAGUGGACGUAUAGGGUGUGACACCUGCCCGGUGCCGGAAGGUUAAUUGAUGGGGUUAGCGCAAGCGAAGCUCUUGAUCGAAGCCCCGGUAAACGGCGGCCGUAACUAUAACGGUCCUAAGGUAGCGAAAUUCCUUGUCGGGUAAGUUCCGACCUGCACGAAUGGUGUAACCAUGGCCAUGCUGUCUCCACCCGAGACUCAGUGAAAUCGAAUUCGCCGUGAAGAUGCGGUGUACCCGCGGCUAGACGGAAAGACCCCGUGAACCUUUACUACAGCUUGGCACUGAACAUUGAACCUACAUGUGUAGGAUAGGCAGGGCCCUGAAUCGGGCUCGCGGACAGUGCCUGGUGGGUAGUUUGACUGGGGCGGUCUCCUCCCAAAGAGUAACGGAGGAGCACGAAGGUUGGCUAAUCCUGGUCGGACAUCAGGAGGUUAGUGCAAUGGCAUAAGCCAGCUUAACUGCGAGACGGACAGGUCGAGCAGGUACGAAAGUAGGUCAUAGUGAUCCGGUGGUUCUGAAUGGAAGGGCCAUCGCUCAACGGAUAAAAGGUACUCCGGGGAUAACAGGCUGAUACCGCCCAAGAGUUCAUAUCGACGGCGGUGUUUGGCACCUCGAUGUCGGCUCAUCACAUCCUGGGGCUGAAGUCGGUCCCAAGGGUAUGGCUGUUCGCCAUUUAAAGUGGUACGCGAGCUGGGUUCAGAACGUCGUGAGACAGUUCGGUCCCUAUCUGCCGUGGGCGUUGGAUGAUUGAAGGGAGUUGCUCCUAGUACGAGAGGACCGGAGUGAACGAACCUCUGGUGUUCGGGUUGUCACGCCAGUGGCACUGCCCGGUAGCUAAGUUCGGAAUCGAUAACCGCUGAAAGCAUCUAAGCGGGAAGCGAGCCCUGAGAUGAGUCAUCCCUGACCCCUUGAGGGUCCUAAAGGGCCGUUGGAGACCACAACGUUGAUAGGUGGGGUGUGUAAGCGUAGCGAUACGUUGAGCUAACCCAUACUAAUUACCCGUGAGGCUUAACCAUACAACACCCAAGAAGUGUUCNCUAGUACGAGAGGACCGGAGUGAACGAACCUCUGGUGUUCGGGUUGUCACGCCAGUGGCACUGCCCGGUAGCUAAGUUCGGAAUCGAUAACCGCUGAAAGCAUCUAAGCGGGAAGCGAGCCCUGAGAUGAGUCAUCCCUGACCCCUUGAGGGUCCUAAAGGGCCGUUGGAGACCACAACGUUGAUAGGUGGGGUGUGUAAGCGUAGCGAUACGUUGAGCUAACCCAUACUAAUUACCCGUGAGGCUUAACCAUACAACACCCAAGAAGUGUUC
This 3110-nucleotide ribosomal RNA is filed under the name Aeromonas caviae. RNAcentral's name for it is "bacterial LSU rRNA". It matches the Rfam family "Bacterial large subunit ribosomal RNA". Lineage: Bacteria; Pseudomonadati; Pseudomonadota; Gammaproteobacteria; Aeromonadales; Aeromonadaceae. The record is from RNAcentral.